UAAUGAAUAAAAUGUUAUAAAAUGUAUGUUGAUUGUUUUUUGAGGUAAAUUCCAUGAUGCAUCUGAAAGUGUUUUUGAGUAGAGAGUGUUUUGCAUAUGAACUGAACACUCGCUUAAAACUCCACUGAUGAUUAUUAGUGUUUGACACUGACACACACACACACACUGAAAAUUCUUCAUGAUAACAGAUCCAAAAGCAAACAUGACUUUAAUAGCCAUCAUUAUUUGGACACUUGCAACCUGCAUCUGGGGUUCUAUGGGGCAGAUUCUGACUCAUUCUGAAGCUCAAACAGUUCAGCCUGAUCAGACUGUCACUAUUCACUGUAAUCAUAAACCAGCAAUAGACUGUGCUCAAAAAAAUACCACUAAGUAUUGUAUGGCGUGGUACCAUCAGAUUCCUGGAGAAGUUCCUAAACUCCUGAUCUAUUACACAUCAGACAGAGCUUCAGGUGUUUCUUCUAGAUUCAGUGGCAGUGAAAGUGGAAACCACAUGGAUUUUACUCUGACUAUCAGUGGAGUCCAGCCUGAAGAUUCAGGAGUUUAUUACUGUCAGAGCAGACAUUUUUUGACCACCACAAACUCAGUGUUCACACAGUGUAAAAGCAUCAUAUAAAAACCUCCUUGGCUGAUACUUCAGCGCUGCUGCUUUGAGCUUCUGCAGAUGUUGAUGUUGAUGAUCAUUAUUCACACACUCCUCAACACAUUCUACAUAUUUUAUAAAUAACAUCAUGUCUCAAACAUGAAUUACACAUGAAUUACAAAUUACAAUAAAAUACAUCCAAGAUGAAAAUGAAAGAAAGCUUACUGUGGCCAAAGCUUAUGUGAUGAAAAUGAAGAUUUCACAUCAGUCCAUCAUGAAAUACCAAUAUUCACUAAAAUAAAAUUAUUAGUGGAUUGACUGGGAAACUGUUUAUAUACAUUUAAUGUAUGUAUAAUUUUACAGACCUGUUUAGAGGAUCAGUGAUCUUUUGCAAGCAAGGUAAAAAAUAAAGAGAGAGAGAGAGAG
Non-coding RNA from Megalobrama amblycephala (Wuchang bream), 1006 nucleotides. The record is from the annotation of a RefSeq genome assembly. NCBI's taxonomy places the organism in Eukaryota, Metazoa, Chordata, Actinopteri, Cypriniformes, Xenocyprididae.